Long non-coding RNA from Entelurus aequoreus (snake pipefish), 365 nucleotides. RefSeq lists it as uncharacterized. NCBI's taxonomy places the organism in Eukaryota, Metazoa, Chordata, Actinopteri, Syngnathiformes, Syngnathidae. The transcript is spliced from 3 exons. The record is from RefSeq and is a predicted model, not a curated record.
GCUGGGACGCAACACAAUAUAGAUAAUGAAUAACAAUAUUUACCUCUAUUAACAGGUGUGUAGGCGGAGCUAAAGACUCACCUGCAGACAGCAGAAAGACUUCCUGCUACACUCUCCGUGUUCUCAAGUGAGAGAGAAUGUUUCAUGCAGAACCUGUACCAGUAGCAGUACUAUUUCCUGGACUCUUCAACAUAAAUUGACUGUCUCUGGCAGCGGAUACAAGGUCCGCAAGCCACGCCCACCCCCCACAGCCACAGAAGAGGAAAACUGUCCUUUCCCGGGCAUGAUAAAGUCUUAAAUAAUGUCAAACACGUAGCGUUACAAUAACCAGGAAGAUAAAGUGUUUGUCUCACACCUACUAAUCA